RNAcentral lists this ribosomal RNA (472 nucleotides) under uncultured bacterium. RNAcentral describes it as "partial 16S ribosomal RNA". It matches the Rfam family "Bacterial small subunit ribosomal RNA", at positions 28 to 507 of the family's 1533-position model. The record is from RNAcentral.
GACGAACGCUGGCGGCGUGCUUAACACAUGCAAGUCGAGCGGAAAGGCCCUUCGGGGAACUCGAGCGGCGAACGGGUGAGUAACACGUGAGUAAUCUGCCCCUGGCUUUGGGAUAACUACCGGAAACGGUGGCUAAUACCGGAUACGACAACGGUCUGCAUGGGCGGGGUGUGGAAAGUUUUUUCGGCCGGGGAGGUGCCCGCGGCCUAUCAGCUUGUUGGUGGGGUAAUGGCCUACCAAGGCUUCGACGGGUAGCCGGCCUGAGAGGGUGACCGGCCACACUGGGACUGAGACACGGCCCAGACUCCUACGGGAGGCAGCAGUGGGGAAUAUUGGACAAUGGGCGGAAGCCUGAUCCAGCAACGCCGCGUGAGGGAUGACGUCCUUCGGGUUGUACACCUCUUUCAGUACCGACGAAGCGCCGAUGAUGGUGGUGACGGUAGGUACAGAAGAAGCACCGGCCAACUACGUG